GGGGGUACAGCUCAGUGGUAGAGCACCUGUUUAGCAUGCUUAAGGCCCUGGAUUCAAUCCCCAGUACCUCCA
This 72-nucleotide transfer RNA is filed under the name Camelus bactrianus (Bactrian camel). It matches the Rfam family "tRNA". From Rfam's summary of the family: Transfer RNA (tRNA) molecules are approximately 80 nucleotides in length. Their secondary structure includes four short double-helical elements and three loops (D, anti-codon, and T loops). Further hydrogen bonds mediate the characteristic L-shaped molecular structure. tRNAs have two regions of fundamental functional importance: the anti-codon, which is responsible for specific mRNA codon recognition, and the 3' end, to which the tRNAs corresponding amino acid is attached (by aminoacyl-tRNA synthetases). tRNAs cope with the degeneracy of the genetic code in two manners: having more than one tRNA (with a specific anti-codon) for a particular amino acid; and 'wobble' base-pairing, i.e. permitting non-standard base-pairing at the 3rd anti-codon position. Lineage: Eukaryota; Metazoa; Chordata; Mammalia; Artiodactyla; Camelidae. RNAcentral also lists the same sequence under 1 other name. The record is from Rfam by way of RNAcentral.